Molecule: ribosomal RNA, 434 nt
Filed under: Pseudomonas putida
Lineage: Bacteria; Pseudomonadati; Pseudomonadota; Gammaproteobacteria; Pseudomonadales; Pseudomonadaceae
Description: bacterial SSU rRNA
Rfam family: Bacterial small subunit ribosomal RNA
Source: RNAcentral
UAGCGGGAUGCCUGACACAUGCAAGUCGAACGGCAGCACGGACUUCGGUCUGGUGGCGAGUGGCGAACGGGUGAGUAAUGUAUCGGAACGUGCCCUAGUAGCGGGGGAUAACUACGCGAAAGCGUGAGCUAAUACCGCAUACGCCCUACGGGGGGAAAGCAGGGGAUCUUCGGACCUUGCACUAUUAGAGCGGCCGGAUAUCGGAUUAGCUAGUUGGUGGGGUAACGGCCCACCAAGGCGACGAUCCGUAACUGGUUUGAGAGGACGACCAGCCACACUGGGACUGAGACACGGCCCANACUCCUACGGGAGGCAGCAGUGGGGAAUUUUGGACAAUGGGGGAAACCCUUGAUCCAGCCAUCCCGCGUGUGCGAUGAAGGCUUCGGGUUGUAAAGCACUUUUGGCAGGAAAGAAACGUCCCCGGGCUAAUACCC